Molecule: ribosomal RNA, 426 nt
Filed under: uncultured bacterium
Lineage: Bacteria
Description: partial 16S ribosomal RNA
Rfam family: Bacterial small subunit ribosomal RNA
Source: RNAcentral
GUGAGGAAUUUUCCGCAAUGGGCGAAAGCCUGACGGAGCAAUGCCGCGUGAAGGAUGAAGGCCUAUGGGUUGUAAACUUCUUUUCUCAGAAAAGAAUUAUGACGGUAUCUGAGGAAUAAGCAUCGGCUAACUCUGUGCCAGCAGCCGCGGUAAGACAGAGGAUGCAAGCGUUAUCCGGAAUGAUUGGGCGUAAAGCGUCUGUAGGUUGUUUAAAAAGUAUUCUGUCAAAGAUUAGCGCUUAACCCUAGAUAGGCAGAAUAAACUUUUAAGCUAGAGUUUGGUAGAGGCAGAGGGAAUUCCCGGUGGAGCGGUGAAAUGCGUAGAUAUCGGGAGGAACACCAAAGGCGAAGGCACUCUGCUGGGCCAAUACUAACACUGAGAGACGAAAGCGCGGGGAGCAAAUGGGAUUAGAUACCCCGGUAGUCC